GUCCUCAUUUGGGGAGCGCAUAUACUAAAAAUUGAAAUGAUACAGAGAUUAACAGGGCCCCUGCACAAGGAUGACACUUAAAAAGCAAUAGCUUAGGGGCACCUGG
RNAcentral lists this small nuclear RNA (106 nucleotides) under Neogale vison (American mink). Lineage: Eukaryota; Metazoa; Chordata; Mammalia; Carnivora; Mustelidae. The record is from RNAcentral.